Long non-coding RNA from Rhincodon typus (whale shark), 286 nucleotides. RefSeq lists it as uncharacterized. The transcript is spliced from 3 exons. NCBI's taxonomy places the organism in Eukaryota, Metazoa, Chordata, Chondrichthyes, Orectolobiformes, Rhincodontidae. The record is from RefSeq and is a predicted model, not a curated record.
GGCGGGACUCCAAUUCCCGGCAUUCGUUGCCAGUUGUCAGUUGCCGGGCUCGACGGUUUUUCCUCAGCGAGAGGGCGGCAGGCAAGACUGGGGAGAGAUCAGCAUCCAGACUUGAAGGGGCCCGACACUGAUACAGGUUGCAAGGGGUUAACGGCUUCAGAAUGCAAGAUAUACCAUCUCCUCCAGCUGACCGUUCAUCUCAACCCGUCACACCUCGCGCUGCAUCUCGCCAAACACAUCCAGUUUUCAGAUCCUUCCGGAGAAGGGGAGCGGGUUCGGCUUUUUU